Cynocephalus volans (Philippine flying lemur) is the source of this 69-nucleotide small nucleolar RNA. RefSeq annotates it as small nucleolar RNA SNORD2. Lineage: Eukaryota; Metazoa; Chordata; Mammalia; Dermoptera; Cynocephalidae. The record is from RefSeq and is a predicted model, not a curated record. The transcript has a single exon.
GACUGAAAUAAUGGCAAUCAUCUUUCAGGAUUGACCUCAAAUGAGGAGAAUACUCAUUGCUGAUUACUU